GUGGGGAAUUUUGGACAAUGGGCGAAAGCCUGAUCCAGCCAUGCCGCGUGUGUGAAGAAGGUCUUCGGAUUGUAAAGCACUUUAAGUUGGGAGGAAGGGCAGUAAGUUAAUACCUUGCUGUUUUGACGUUACCGACAGAAUAAGCACCGGCUAACUUCGUGCCAGCAGCCGCGGUAAUACGAAGGGUGCAAGCGUUAAUCGGAAUUACUGGGCGUAACGCGCGCGUAGGUGGUUGUGUAAGUUGGAGGUGAAAUCCCCGGGCUCAACCUGGGAACUGCAUCCAAAACUGCAUGACUAGAGUACGGUAGAGGGUAGUGGAAUUUCCUGUGUAGCGGUGAAAUGCGUAGAUAUAGGAAGGAACACCAGUGGCGAAGGCGACUACCUGGACUGAUACUGACACUGAGGUGCGAAAGCGUGGGGAGCAAACAGGAUUAGAAACCCUGGUAGUCC
RNAcentral lists this ribosomal RNA (450 nucleotides) under uncultured bacterium. Its description in RNAcentral is "partial 16S ribosomal RNA". It matches the Rfam family "Bacterial small subunit ribosomal RNA", at positions 354 to 796 of the family's 1533-position model. The record is from RNAcentral.